This 406-nucleotide ribosomal RNA is filed under the name uncultured bacterium. RNAcentral's name for it is "partial 16S ribosomal RNA". It matches the Rfam family "Bacterial small subunit ribosomal RNA", at positions 28 to 526 of the family's 1533-position model. The record is from RNAcentral.
GACGAACGCUGGCGGCGUGCCUAAUAAAUGCAAGUCGAACGAGGGGCGGAAGGGUGAGUAACACGUGGGUAAAUACCCAUCAGAGGGGGAUAACACUUGGAAACAGGUGCUAUUACCGCAUACUGAUGGAUGGACCCGCGGUGCAUUAGCUAGUUGGUGAGGUAACGGCUCAACUAGGCGACGAUCUCUAGCUGGUCUGCAAAGAUGAGCAGCCACACUGGGACUGAGACACGGCCCAACAGCCGACGAGAGGCAGCAGUGGUGAAUAUGGGACAAUGGGCGCAAGCCUGAUUCAGCCAUGCCGCGUGUAUGAAGAAGGCCUUAGGGUUGUAAAGUACUUUCAGCGGGGAGGCGUUACCCGCAGAAUAAGCACCGGCUAACUCCGUUCCAGCAGCCGCGGUAAUUC